CCAGACUCCUACGGGAGGCAGCAGUGGGGAAUAUUGGGCAAUGGGCGCAAGCCUGACCCAGCAACGCCGCGUGAAGGAAGAAGGCUUUCGGGUUGUAAACUUCUUUUGUCAGGGACGAAGCAAGUGACGGUACCUGACGAAUAAGCCACGACUAACUACGUGCCAGCAGCCGCGGUAAUACGUAGGUGGCAAGCGUUAUCCGGAUUUAUUGGGUGUAAAGGGCGUGUAGGCGGGAAUGCAAGUCAGAUGUGAAAACUAUGGGCUCAACCCAUAGCCUGCAUUUGAAACUGUAUUUCUUGAGUGCCGGAGAGGUAGGCGGAAUUCCUAGUGUAGCGGUGAAAUGCGUAGAUAUUAGGAGGAACACCAGUGGCGAAGGCGGCCUACUGGACGGUGACUGACGCUGAGGCUCGAAAGCGUGGGGAGCAAACAGGAUUAGAUACCCCAGUA
Molecule: ribosomal RNA, 447 nt
Filed under: uncultured bacterium
Lineage: Bacteria
Description: bacterial SSU rRNA
Rfam family: Bacterial small subunit ribosomal RNA
Source: RNAcentral